RNAcentral lists this ribosomal RNA (374 nucleotides) under uncultured prokaryote. RNAcentral's name for it is "bacterial SSU rRNA". It matches the Rfam family "Bacterial small subunit ribosomal RNA", at positions 524 to 896 of the family's 1533-position model. The record is from RNAcentral.
UACGAAGGUCCCGAGCGUUGUUCGGAAUCACUGGGCGUAAAGGGAGCGUAGGCGGCGUGGUAAGUCAGAUGUGAAAUCCCGGGGCUCAACCCCGGAACUGCAUCCGAUACUGCCGUGCUAGAGUGAUGGAGAGGUAGCUGGAAUUCACGGUGUAGCAGUGAAAUGCGUGGAUAUCGUGAGGAACACUCGUGGCGAAAGCGAGCUACUGGACAUUUACUGACGCUGAGGCUCGAAGGCCAGGGUAGCGAAAGGGAUUAGAUACCCCUGUAGUCCUGGCAGUAAACGGUGCACGCUUGGUGUGAGGGGAAUCGACCCCCCUUGUGCCGGAGCAAACGCGUUAAGCGUGCCGCCUGGGAAGUACGGUCGCAAGACUA